AGAAUCAACGCUGGCGGCGUGCCUAACACAUGCAAGUCGAACGAGAAAGUGGAGCAAUCCAUGAGUAAAGUGGCGCACGGGUGGGUAACACGUGACUAACCCACCCUGGAGUGGGGAUAACUGAGGGAAACCUUAGCUAAUACCGCAUAGUACCUACGGGUCAAAGGAGCAAUUCGCUUCAGGAGGGGGUCGCGGCCGAUUAGUUAGUUGGCGGGGUAAUGGCCCACCAAGACAGUGAUCGGUA
This 244-nucleotide ribosomal RNA is filed under the name uncultured bacterium. Its description in RNAcentral is "partial small subunit ribosomal RNA". It matches the Rfam family "Bacterial small subunit ribosomal RNA", at positions 26 to 285 of the family's 1533-position model. The record is from RNAcentral.